UUUGGGGUUUUUUCCUGCUUUUGAACUUUUUAGUUUCUUGUCAUUUGAUUCUUUGUUGUUGAAUAUUAGUCUUCUGUUGGAUUGGAGGGUCUUUCUGCUUUGGUGAGAGAAACUAUGGAAAAAGGUUUGGAGGAUUUGCGUUUAGAGGAUAGUGAGGAGGAUGCUUUGUCUAUUCCGAUUGGAGACGAAGUACAGGGUCUAGUGUUUAGCUUCUGUUUGGUAGCUUGUUUUUUUUACUGCUAGUGUGGUU
This 250-nucleotide long non-coding RNA is filed under the name Gossypium barbadense (sea-island cotton). RNAcentral describes it as "long non-coding RNA (GBAR_LNC006618)". The record is from RNAcentral. Lineage: Eukaryota; Viridiplantae; Streptophyta; Magnoliopsida; Malvales; Malvaceae.